This 75-nucleotide non-coding RNA is filed under the name unclassified sequences. The record is from Rfam.
ACUGUGGAGUAUACAAGAACUUGUGAGUAGUAUCUGGAUGUAUCCAGUACAAAAGCAUAUACGGUGAAGCAGUAA